UACAGAGGUCCCGAGCGUUGUUCGGAUUCACUGGGCGUAAAGGGUGCGUAGGCGGUCGGGUAAGUCUGACGUGAAAUCUUCAAGCUCAACUUGGAAACUGCGUCGGAUACUAUUCGGCUAGAGGAAUGGAGGGGAGACUGGAAUACUUGGCGUAGCAGUGAAAUGCGUAGAUAUCAAGUGGAACACCAGUGGCGAAGGCGAGUCUCUGGACAUUUCCUGACGCUGAGGCACGAAAGCCAGGGGAGCAAACGGG
Molecule: ribosomal RNA, 253 nt
Filed under: uncultured bacterium
Lineage: Bacteria
Description: partial 16S ribosomal RNA
Rfam family: Bacterial small subunit ribosomal RNA
Source: RNAcentral